RNAcentral lists this ribosomal RNA (543 nucleotides) under Velataspis sp. ud1000. RNAcentral describes it as "eukaryotic LSU rRNA". The record is from RNAcentral. Lineage: Eukaryota; Metazoa; Arthropoda; Insecta; Hemiptera; Diaspididae.
AUCUGGGCGACGAAAUUCAGGAUGGCCGGGCGCGCGCACGCGUGUCGGGCCGUUUGAUAUUUUCGUCGCCGCGUCAGACGUCGCGACCUGUUCGUCGUCGGUCCCUGCUCGGAGGAAUCUCGCGAACGAGCUUGUUGUGGGCGCGUUUCGGCGCGCCAUACGGCAAAGUCGCGGUUCUCUGGCUGACGACGGACAGUAAGCGCAACGGUGUCCGGCCGCCGUGUCUCGCACUCGGCGUCGGUACCGGUCGGCGACGAUUUCUUCGGGCCUCUUUCCGACCCGUCUUGAAACACGGACCAAGGAGUCUAACAUGCGCGCGAGUCGCGGGGUGUCGAGCGCGCCACGGUGCGCUCGUUACAUCGCGAAACCCGUUAUGUUGUAGAGGCGUAAUGAAAGUGAAGAGGGAAGAUGGUGUUCCGAGUACACGUUCCGUGAUCUCGUAUCGCGGCCGGACGCCCGCAUUCCCGGGGCGUCUCAAUGACUCGUCGCGGACGCGGACGGUUGUCUCUCGCGGGAGGCGGCCGUCGGUCUGCGACGGAUCGA